GAUGUGGGUUAAGUCCCGUAACGAGCGCAACCCUUGUCCUUAGUUACCAGCACGUUAUGGUGGGCACUCUAAGGAGACUGCCGGUGACAAACCGGAGGAAGGUGGGGAUGACGUCAAGUCAUCAUGGCCCUUACGGCCUGGGCUACACACGUGCUACAAUGGUCGGUACAAAGGGUUGCCAAGCCGCGAGGUGGAGCUAAUCCCAUAAAACCGAUCGUAGUCCGGAUCGCAGUCUGCAACUCGACUGCGUGAAGUCGGAAUCGCUAGUAAUCGUGAAUCAGAAUGUCACGGUGAAUACGUUCCCGGGCCUU
This 311-nucleotide ribosomal RNA is filed under the name uncultured Pseudomonas sp. Its description in RNAcentral is "bacterial SSU rRNA". It matches the Rfam family "Bacterial small subunit ribosomal RNA", at positions 1071 to 1382 of the family's 1533-position model. The record is from RNAcentral. Lineage: Bacteria; Pseudomonadati; Pseudomonadota; Gammaproteobacteria; Pseudomonadales; Pseudomonadaceae.